This 201-nucleotide ribosomal RNA is filed under the name uncultured bacterium. RNAcentral describes it as "partial 16S ribosomal RNA". It matches the Rfam family "Bacterial small subunit ribosomal RNA", at positions 328 to 538 of the family's 1533-position model. The record is from RNAcentral.
ACGCUCGACACCUACGGGGGCAGCAGUUGGGAAUAUUGGACAAUGGAGGAAACUCUGAUCCAGUGACGCCGCGUGAAGGAAGAGGGUCUUCGGAUUGUAAACUUAUUUUGUCAGGGAAGAAAAAAUGACUGUACCUGAAGAAAAAGCACCGGCUAACUACGUGCCCGCAGCCGCGGUAAUACUGAGCGGGCGUGGCAAGGC